Molecule: ribosomal RNA, 457 nt
Filed under: uncultured bacterium
Lineage: Bacteria
Description: partial 16S ribosomal RNA
Rfam family: Bacterial small subunit ribosomal RNA
Source: RNAcentral
CCUACGAGAGGCAGCAGUGGGGAAUAUUGCACAAUGGGGGAAACCCUGAUGCAGCGACGCCGCGUGAGUGAAGAAGUAUUUCGGUACGUAAAGCUCUAUCAGCAGGGAAGAAAUAAAGUCCUUUGGACUUUGGACGGUACCUGACUAAGAAGCCCCGGCUAACUACGUGCCAGCAGCCGCGGUAAUCCGUAGGGGGCAAGCGUUAUCCGGAUUUACUGGGUGUAAAGGGAGGGUAGACGGCAGCGCAAGUCUGGAGUGAAUUCCCAUGGCUUAACCAUGGAACUGCUGUGGAAACUGUGCAGCUGGAGUGCAGGAGAGGUAAGCGGAAUUCCUAGUGUAGCGGUGAAAUGCGUAGAUAUUAGGAGGAACACCAGUGGCGAAGGCGGCUUACUGGACUGUAACUGACGUUGAGGCUCGAAAGCGCGGGGAGCAAACAGGAUUAGAUACCCCGGUAGUC